CACAGAGGCUCGAAUUCCGGGGGCUGGACUCGAUGAUCUAUAAGGUCCCUUCCAACCCGCACGAAACUAUGAAACUAUGAAACUGAUGGCCAUCAAGGUUCUUGCUACUAUAAUCAAAGAAGCAAGUAUGGUUACAGCCAGCCCUUUCCAUUUACCAAACCAGAAUUCCAACCAUCCAUUGAUAGAAGUAUCUUCCUGAAGUUUCUGUCAAUUCAUCAGCAAGGGUGGUAAGCCUUUGCUGUGCCUUAGUUAUUCUGCCAUCUGGAGCUCUGUUCUGGGGAUGAAAGCAAUGGGUAGCUAGCAUUCCACACACGCACCUUUUUUCAGAUAACAUCAUAUCUAGCAUGAUCCUAAACUUGGGUUGGGCCACACAAGGAAGGGUGCCCAGUGGUCAUGGAGCAAUGGCACAGCCUUCACCAACUGGUCAUCCUGUCUGUCCAUCUGUCCUGGACAAGAUUUCCCACAGGCUGUGUUUAUAACUGGGAUCGUCUCCUGGGCCUGCAGCUGUGGUUUUCUAUGGGCUGCUGGGCUCAGGCUGGGUGCUGCACCAAGUCAUUCUGCCCUUCCCCAUUAGAGGCACUCCCAGCUUUUCUCAGCGCAUCAGGGCACCUUUCCCAUUCUCCUCCCUCUUGAGCACAGGUUCAAGCUGCAAGGUGGAGGUCAAUGUGCUUACCUGAAUGGGGACAGGAUCAGCUCAUCCUUGUGCUACCUACACAAACACUGGAACUGCAGCACAUCCUCUGGAAGCAAAAGUCACACUCAGAAUGAGACCCCGUCACCACCAAUUGCAUGCCAGUGCUCUUGCAGGAGGAACCCCUCAGAUGCUACUUCCCAGCGCUGCUGUAGUGGUGUCAGGUGGUUGCUCCUUGUUGUAUCUCAGAGUAACACCUUUGUAUAUAUCACAUCCUCAAAGAACCACAUAAUUGCAGUGUGGUGCUCCCUGUUCACUGUCUGGUAUUGUAGGAAUGGAAUGUUGUUUCUGCAUUAGAUAUUGAAAAGGGGGAAUUGAUCUGAAGUAAAGCACAAUGUAUUUGUAUUUUGUAACUUGUCCUUAGAAAUAGCUGACGUGAAAAAGUAGAAAUACCAUAUAUUUUACUAGCAUAUUUUAGAAAUUUAGUUGUUGAAGUAUAUGAUUGAUUCUUGCUUGCAAAACUGCAAUAGUUUUUAAAUGUUCCAAAUGGUAUAGGUAUAGUAUUAUGGACUAGAAAGCAUAAUGUAGGGUUAUUCUGUUUGGAUAAGAGACGCUCAGCAAAAGUAAAACAGACUUAACAGACAUCAAAGAAGCCAGGGCCUCAGCACAAGGCUGGAUUACUUUGCUCUUUGGGCAGGUUGGGAUGCAACAGGCAGGCAUCAAGAUACUCCUCCCUAUCCUCCUUCCAAACUUGUCUUUAUGCAGGGACAAGCAGAUGUCCAGAAACAAUGACUGAGUGUUGAAUGAGCAAAUGUGAGAAGUUAACUAAUACAUGCUUAGCUAGCAAAAAUUUAUGUUUAUCCAGUAUCCAUAUGUUUAGUUGAGUAUUGGGAAGAUUGUGAGCCUUAAGUACUUAGUCAAUGGGGAAUCAGGGGAGAAAGAGAUAAGCGUAGAGCAAUAGGGCAUAAACGAUGUAACAUUGUUUUCUGUAUGCUCUCCUGAUUGCAGGAAGCCCACCAUUGCAAUUGCCAUCUCUGCCAAUUCUAAAGAUUCUUUAAAGUCUGUUUCAAAGCCACUGGCUUUGGGCUUGUUGGGUUUGGCCCAAAACAGCAUUACUGGGACCAAGACUUAUACCAUCCACAGGCUUCCAGAUGCCAGUGCACAGGCCUGGGGCCUGUGCUGGCACCAUUCACCAGCUGCAGCUGCACCAGGCUGCAACGUGAGGCCCUCUGGAGAUAUCUGCAGUACCCAGGGGCCAAUUUGGGAUCCAAAUGGGCUAUUCAGUGAAGGAGAUUUGAUACCUCUUGGGGAAAUUUAUGUUUUGAUGCUGUAAUUUGAGAUAGAGCAAAGGAGAUUUGGCACCCAAAGAGGCAGUCUAGGAAUGCCGACUGUAUAAUGUGGUACACUAGGGGUUGGAGUACUCAGAAGACAGUUAUGGCACCUGUGGGGCCAUUUAAGGCACCAGGACUGCAGCAUGGGACCCACAGUGGGAAACAUGAAGCUCAGGACACAUCUGGGAACUGAAUCUGGGGCCCAGUGAGGUGACAAGAGCUUGGUUGAGGGCACCUGAAGCUCCUCUGGGAUGCCAUUCGGAGAUCCUAGGGCUGCAAUUCAGGGUCCACUGGGACACUGGGGGUACAAGGGAUGCCACGUGGGGACACCACAGGGGAUCCGAGACUCCAUAACUGGAAGUGAUGGGUGCAAUAUUUCUGCAGGGACCCAGCCACAUGAAAGACAUUCACAUCCCAAAGCCUCCCCACUGCCCAGUGCCCCACAGAGCUGCCUCCCAUCCAAUGCUAUCCCACAGAUCCAUCAACAUGACCCACUGCCAAAAGUCAACCAUUUUUUGUGUGAAAAUGCCAUCCUGGCAGAUACAGAGAAGGAAUUUGGCAGGUGGAAGAGGUUGUACAGGAGUCAACAGCAGUUUGGUGCUAACAGCCAGACUCGGAGACAUAGCUAUCACUCAGUCCAGCGGUGGCCACAAUGAGGGGCUGUGCAGACAUAGUAGAGCCUCAUGGCAUCCUGCAGAGUAGAAGGAGGUGAUAGUCACAGGAGGGGGACAUGAAGGGGUGGCAGCAGCAGAGAUCAGGCUGUGGGAUUUUGGGGUGGUGCCUCACCUCAGCUCUUGCACUGUGCGACUGGAAAAAAACAGCCUCCUUGUGCCCACACCUGGGGGAGAGAAAGAAAAGCAGUGACACAGCAAGGACUUGGAGCACGUAUAGAGCACAGGAACCACAAAAGGGGAUGUUAAAUAAUCCCACAGGGAAGUAAUGGAGCUGUCAGGGGUACAGGUGAUGUACAGGAUAUAGCAGAGCCCUGCAGCAGGAACAUGGCAGGGAUACCAUGCCCUCGACACUGGUAGGGUUGGAGCCCAGAGGGAAAGCAGCAGGGCUGGGGACACCCCUUGGCCCCAAAGGAGCCCCUCACAUCCCUGCAGGGGGUUCUGGUCCACACAGGGCUCCCCAAGUCCUCACUUCUGGCAGGGGUGGUCCUCAGUGCGUGGCAGCGUAGGGUCCUGGGAGACAUCAGCAAUGAUCUGCGUGAGUUCACUGUGAGAAGACACCCAGAUUGUUAAUCAACCCUUCUAACAAGCCCCAAGCUAGUUAAUGACUCUGUCAUCUCCCUUAUUAAUUGUAUCCUUAUUAACUGCUCUUGACUUGUUCCAUCCUACUGCCUUCUCCUUAUCAAUUAUUCUCUAUUUAUUCCUCAGUCAAUCUUAUUAACAAUUCCAACAGUCCCUUUAUGAUUCUUAUUAACUGCCUAUGAAUAUAUACCUCCUAUUAAUUGUCCCCAUUAGUUGCCCUCCAGUCAGCUUCCCUCAUUGCCUAUUAAUCACUCCUCAUUUACACCUCACUGUUAUUAACCCAACCAUUCUGUUGUCAUUCUUAUUACCUAU
This is a non-coding RNA of Coturnix japonica (Japanese quail), 3527 nucleotides long. The record is from RefSeq and is a predicted model, not a curated record. Lineage: Eukaryota; Metazoa; Chordata; Aves; Galliformes; Phasianidae.